CAACAAGUGGCAUGCUCAGACAUGCAGUCGACGCGAAAGUUCCCUUCGGGGAGCAAGUAGAGUGGCGCACGGGUGAGUAACACGUAGGUAAUCUACCUUUGGAUGGGAAAUAACAACCGGAAACGGUUGCUAAUACCGCAUAAUGCAGCGGCACCUAAUGGUGACAGUUGUUAAAGCGGGGGAUCGAAAGACCUCGCGUCUAAAGAGGAGCCUGCGGCGGAUUAGCUAGUUGGUAAGGUAAUGGCUUACCAAGGCGAUGAUCCGUAACCGGCCUGAGAGGGCGGUCGGUCACACUGACACUGACAUACGGGUCAGACUCCUACGGGAGGCAGCAGUCGGGAAUUUUGGGCAAUGGGCGAAAGCCUGACCCAGCAACGCCGCGUGAAGGAUGAAACCCCUCGGGAUGUAAACUUCGCAAGAACGGGAAGAAUAAGUUGGUGUGAAUAUCACCAACGAUGACGGUACCGUUUGUAAGCUCCGGCUAACUCCGUGCCAGCAGCCGCGGUAAUACGGGGGGAGCAAGCGUUGUUCGGAUUUACUGGGCGUAAAGGGCGCGUAUGCGGCCACCGCAAGUCGGUUGUGAAAUCUCCGGGCUUAACCCGGAAAGGUCAAUCGAUACUGCGGGGCUAGAGUGCAGAAUGGGCAACUGGAAUUCUCGGUGUAGCGGUGAAAUGCAUAUAUAUCAAGAGGAACACCUGCGGCGAAGGCGGGUUGCUGGGCUGACACUGACGCUGAAGCGCGACAGCUAGGGGAGCGAACGGGAUUAGAUACCCCGGUAGUCCUAGCCUUAAACGAUGAGUGCUUGGUGUCUGGGGUUUUAUAGUCCCCGGGUGCCGGCGCUUACGCUUUACCCAUUCCGCCUGGGGAGUACGGUCGCAAGACUGAAACUCAUAGGAUUGACGGGGACCCCCACAAGCGGUGGAGCGUGUGGCCUACAUCCACGCGACGCCCAGAACAUACCUGGGCUACUAGUGCCUCUGACACCCUAGAGAUGGGCCCUCUGGUAAACCAACUGAC
RNAcentral lists this ribosomal RNA (1017 nucleotides) under uncultured bacterium. RNAcentral's name for it is "bacterial SSU rRNA". It matches the Rfam family "Bacterial small subunit ribosomal RNA", at positions 31 to 1031 of the family's 1533-position model. The record is from RNAcentral.